RNAcentral lists this unclassified non-coding RNA (314 nucleotides) under uncultured Ascomycota. Its description in RNAcentral is "sequence contains ITS1". The stretch from base 1 to 105 matches the Rfam family "5.8S ribosomal RNA", at positions 50 to 154 of the family's 154-position model. The record is from RNAcentral. Lineage: Eukaryota; Fungi; Ascomycota.
GAAAUGCGAUAAGUAAUGUGAAUUGCAGAAUUCAGCGAAUCAUCGAAUCUUUGAACGCACAUUGCGCCUCCGGGUAUUCCUGGAGGCAUGCCUGUUCGAGCGUCGUUUAGACCAUGAGGCUUUGCCUUGCGAUGACACUUGGGUUUUUAGGAAUCCAUCUGUUCAAACAUAUUGGCAUCUGAAGUUUGGCCCAGCACAGCAAAAUGUGUUUUAAGGUUCUAUCUAAAGAUGCCUGUAUUUCUUGAAUGGUUCUGGAAACAGAAUCAAUCAUUUUGGUCGACCUCGGAUCAGGCAAGAUUACCCGCUGAACUUAA